Molecule: ribosomal RNA, 1863 nt
Filed under: Escherichia coli O21
Lineage: Bacteria; Pseudomonadati; Pseudomonadota; Gammaproteobacteria; Enterobacterales; Enterobacteriaceae
Description: partial 23S ribosomal RNA
Rfam family: Bacterial large subunit ribosomal RNA
Source: RNAcentral
AACUGCGAAUACCGGAGAAUGUUAUCACGGGAGACACACGGCGGGUGCUAACGUCCGUCGUGAAGAGGGAAACAACCCAGACCGCCAGCUAAGGUCCCAAAGUCAUGGUUAAGUGGGAAACGAUGUGGGAAGGCCCAGACAGCCAGGAUGUUGGCUUAGAAGCAGCCAUCAUUUAAAGAAAGCGUAAUAGCUCACUGGUCGAGUCGGCCUGCGCGGAAGAUGUAACGGGGCUAAACCAUGCACCGAAGCUGCGGCAGCGACGCUUAUGCGUUGUUGGGUAGGGGAGCGUUCUGUAAGCCUGUGAAGGUGUGCUGUGAGGCAUGCUGGAGGUAUCAGAAGUGCGAAUGCUGACAUAAGUAACGAUAAAGCGGGUGAAAAGCCCGCUCGCCGGAAGACCAAGGGUUCCUGUCCAACGUUAAUCGGGGCAGGGUGAGUCGACCCCUAAGGCGAGGCCGAAAGGCGUAGUCGAUGGGAAACAGGUUAAUAUUCCUGUACUUGGUGUUACUGCGAAGGGGGGACGGAGAAGGCUAUGUUGGCCGGGCGACGGUUGUCCCGGUUUAAGCGUGUAGGCUGGUUUUCCAGGCAAAUCCGGAAAAUCAAGGCUGAGGCGUGAUGACGAGGCACUACGGUGCUGAAGCAACAAAUGCCCUGCUUCCAGGAAAAGCCUCUAAGCAUCAGGUAACAUCAAAUCGUACCCCAAACCGACACAGGUGGUCAGGUAGAGAAUACCAAGGCGCUUGAGAGAACUCGGGUGAAGGAACUAGGCAAAAUGGUGCCGUAACUUCGGGAGAAGGCACGCUGAUAUGUAGGUGAAGUCCCUUGCGGAUGGAGCUGAAAUCAGUCGAAGAUACCAGCUGGCUGCAACUGUUUAUUAAAAACACAGCACUGUGCAAACACGAAAGUGGACGUAUACGGUGUGACGCCUGCCCGGUGCCGGAAGGUUAAUUGAUGGGGUCAGCGCAAGCGAAGCUCUUGAUCGAAGCCCCGGUAAACGGCGGCCGUAACUAUAACGGUCCUAAGGUAGCGAAAUUCCUUGUCGGGUAAGUUCCGACCUGCACGAAUGGCGUAAUGAUGGCCAGGCUGUCUCCACCCGAGACUCAGUGAAAUUGAACUCGCUGUGAAGAUGCAGUGUACCCGCGGCAAGACGGAAAGACCCCGUGAACCUUUACUAUAGCUUGACACUGAACAUUGAGCCUUGAUGUGUAGGAUAGGUGGGAGGCUUUGAAGUGUGGACGCCAGUCUGCAUGGAGCCGACCUUGAAAUACCACCCUUUAAUGUUUGAUGUUCUAACGUUGACCCGUAAUCCGGGUUGCGGACAGUGUCUGGUGGGUAGUUUGACUGGGGCGGUCUCCUCCUAAAGAGUAACGGAGGAGCACGAAGGUUGGCUAAUCCUGGUCGGACAUCAGGAGGUUAGUGCAAUGGCAUAAGCCAGCUUGACUGCGAGCGUGACGGCGCGAGCAGGUGCGAAAGCAGGUCAUAGUGAUCCGGUGGUUCUGAAUGGAAGGGCCAUCGCUCAACGGAUAAAAGGUACUCCGGGGAUAACAGGCUGAUACCGCCCAAGAGUUCAUAUCGACGGCGGUGUUUGGCACCUCGAUGUCGGCUCAUCACAUCCUGGGGCUGAAGUAGGUCCCAAGGGUAUGGCUGUUCGCCAUUUAAAGUGGUACGCGAGCUGGGUUUAGAACGUCGUGAGACAGUUCGGUCCCUAUCUGCCGUGGGCGCUGGAGAACUGAGGGGGGCUGCUCCUAGUACGAGAGGACCGGAGUGGACGCAUCACUGGUGUUCGGGUUGUCAUGCCAAUGGCACUGCCCGGUAGCUAAAUGCGGAAGAGAUAAGUGCUGAAAGCAUCUAAGCACGAAACUUGCC